UUAUGUGUUAACUGUAAGUCGCUUUAGAUAAAAGCGUCUGCUAAAUGGCCGAAU
Molecule: non-coding RNA, 54 nt
Organism: Salmo salar (Atlantic salmon)
Lineage: Eukaryota; Metazoa; Chordata; Actinopteri; Salmoniformes; Salmonidae
Source: Rfam